UGGGGAAUAUUGCACAAUGGGCGCAAGCCUGAUGCAGCGACGCCGCGUGGGGGAUGACGGCCUUCGGGUUGUAAACUCCUUUCGCUAGGGACGAAGCUUUUUGUGACGGUACCUAGAUAAGAAGCACCGGCUAACUACGUGCCAGCAGCCGCGGUAAUACGUAGGGUGCGAGCGUUGUCCGGAAUUACUGGGCGUAAAGGGCUCGUAGGUGGUUUGUCGCGUCGUCUGUGAAAUUCCGGGGCUUAACUCCGGGCGUGCAGGCGAUACGGGCAUAACUUGAGUACGGUAGGGGUAACUGGAAUUCCUGGUGUAGCGGUGAAAUGCGCAGAUAUCAGGAGGAACACCGAUGGCGAAGGCAGGUUACUGGGCAGUUACUGACGCUGGGGAGCGAAAGCAUGGGUAGCGAACAGG
This 411-nucleotide ribosomal RNA is filed under the name Actinomycetes bacterium. RNAcentral describes it as "Actinobacteria bacterium partial 16S ribosomal RNA". It matches the Rfam family "Bacterial small subunit ribosomal RNA", at positions 355 to 776 of the family's 1533-position model. The record is from RNAcentral. Lineage: Bacteria; Bacillati; Actinomycetota; Actinomycetes.